CGCUGUUCAAAACUCAUAAAUCCAUGGACAAAAAACAAAAUCGGGAUAACAAACUAAAACCGAGGGAAACGCAUUAAAUAUAAGAGGAGAACAACGACAUAACACUAAAAUGUAACACAUAUAGACAAAAUCCCACGAGAAAAACAAAUAUAACAUAUAUAUAUAACAUCAAAACCAAAUACAUGAAUUUGGGAUAGACAAGUACCGUGACACGUCUUAUCGCAAUGUGAAUUUACACUCAAAAAUAAGAGAAAACAAACGACACAACGUUAUAAUGUAAUACACACAGAAACGAACUAUAAUAUAACAAUGACCAUAUUCCUGACUUGGUACAGGGCAUUUUUAAAGGAAAAAAUGGUGGGUUGAACCUGGUUUUGUGGCAUGCCAAACCUCGCACUUUUAUGGU
Molecule: long non-coding RNA, 406 nt
Filed under: Mytilus galloprovincialis (Mediterranean mussel)
Lineage: Eukaryota; Metazoa; Mollusca; Bivalvia; Mytilida; Mytilidae
Source: RNAcentral